Molecule: non-coding RNA, 188 nt
Organism: Caenorhabditis elegans
Lineage: Eukaryota; Metazoa; Nematoda; Chromadorea; Rhabditida; Rhabditidae
Source: Ensembl
CUGAUGAAUGCCGCAAAGGCGACGCAUCCUUGUUGUGCCCUCUCGACGGAUUUCCAUCCGUUUACCGUAUUCAUCAUUCUUCUACUUGACAGCUCACCAUAUUCACACCCCUUCUCCUGCCGCCGGCUGUCGCUGUCUUCACCUCCUUCAGCUGCUUUUUUGUGAAUUGAAACACACACCGCACACUC